RNAcentral lists this ribosomal RNA (498 nucleotides) under uncultured bacterium. Its description in RNAcentral is "partial 16S ribosomal RNA". It matches the Rfam family "Bacterial small subunit ribosomal RNA", at positions 29 to 523 of the family's 1533-position model. The record is from RNAcentral.
AUUGAACGCUGGCGGCAUGCUUUACACACGCAAGUCGAACGGUAACAGGCCGCAAGGUGCUGACGAGUGGCGAACGGGUGAGUAAUGCAUCGGAACGUGCCCAGUCGUGGGGGAUAACGCAGCGAAAGCUGUGCUAAUACCGCAUACGAUCUAUGGAUGAAAGCGGGGGACCGUAAGGCCCCGCGCGAUUGGAGCGGCCGAUGUCAGAUUAGGUAGUUGGUGGGGUAAAGGCUCACCAAGCCAACGAUCUGUAACUGGUCUGAGAGGACGACCAGCCACACUGGGACUGAGACACGGCCCAGACACCUACGGGAGGCAGCAGUGGGGAAUUUUGGACAAUGGGCGCAAGCCUGAUCCAGCAAUGCCGCGUGCAGGAAGAAGGCCUUCGGGUCGUAAACUGCUUUUGUACGGAACGAAAAGGUUUGGGUUAAUACCCUGGGCCGAUGACGGUACCGUAAGAAUAAGCACCGGCUAACUACGUGCCAGCCGCCGCCGUAA